Molecule: long non-coding RNA, 2265 nt
Organism: Paramisgurnus dabryanus
Lineage: Eukaryota; Metazoa; Chordata; Actinopteri; Cypriniformes; Cobitidae
Source: RefSeq, a predicted model, not a curated record
GUGAAACACCAUUAGUUUGUGUCCAAGUAUUGUUCCAAAGUUCACGUUUAGCCAAGUAUAAUUAAAAUUUGUAAAAUCCAGUGCAAAUUAGAAUUUGGCAUACUUUGUAUUGAAAAUAUAUAAUGAUUCCUCUAUAAAAGUGUUUCCCAACCUAUUCCUAUGUAGCACCCCUCCCAGGAGGUUUUAGAUCUCUUUAUAUGAAACACCCACUUCAGCUCAGUACAAAAACUGUCAUGUGAGACAGAGGUAGAGUGAUAAACGCAAUGUGCAAACAUCUAUUUGUAGGGGGGAAUUUUUAUUUUGUGGCGAACUGACAAAUACAUUUUUGUAUGAUGUCAUUUGGAAUAUUAUUUUAACAUACCAUUAGUAUACUUUAAAGUAUAUUUAAAAAUGCUUAAAGAGCACCUAUUAUGGGAUACACGUUUUUAAACAUCCUUUUGUGUGUAAGUGUGCAUUAGUACAUGCUAACGAUAUUCAAAAAGUACAUACCUCAAAGAAAACGAUGACGCGAGUUAUCGUCUCUAACGUUCGAGGACUACAAAAAACACUCGGAUUGUAGGCAACAGUUUACUUCCUGGGAUUAGUGACGUAGAUAAGACCAGCAUUAUCAUAGUUCAGCCCUCUCUGCUUUGCUUGGGUACGCCCUCAAAGACGAGGGUGGGGUGGGGAGCGCCGAGUCAGAGGAGAGCUAAAAUGGCGGAGGUUGGGAGUCCCUGCUUUGACUCUGUUUGCAAACUCUUGUUUCAUUGUUUAAGCGAUUAAAUCUCUCGAGUAGACGCUGUCUCUUUAGAUGCGAGGGCAAAAUAGCACUUUAUGGACUUCCACAGAGGACAUCAUGUUUAAUACGGUUCCGGAAAAAUCCAGUCAGAAGUUGUUCACGGAGUUUUCACAAUAACUGCUUCUCAUGAACCGAAGCUGGAUUUGCGCGUUGUCUCCUCUUGAAAGUUGGAUUACUGUGCACUUCUGGAUCACAGACUGUAAGUAUUCAUGUUUAUUAUUUGCCUUUUACUGUACAUUACGUAACCGGUAACCGGAGAUUAACAUAAUGUGCGUGUAGAGCUAAGCUUGCAAGCUAAUUGUUUUGUGUUGUAAUACUGUAUUUCAUAAACAACGUACCAUAUUUACACACGUGUAUGUUGAAUUAUGCAGGCUUUCGUUUUUUUUAUCGAUGUUGGUUUAGACAUGUUUACAAACUUGCUAAGUUGCUAAGAUAAAUACAAAUACAAAUGCCAGCUAAACUGUUACCGGUAAAAUUUGUUCUCAUUAUCAAACUCAAGAAACUCUAAGUAAGUUACAGAUGAUUUGUUUAAAGUUAUAUGUAUUUUACUGUUGUAUUUACUUGAAGCUUUCUUAGAUUUUGAAACGAAGUAAACACGUAAUGUGUGUUGCUAAUGUUGGGCCAUGUAAUAUGUAAUACAUUUACGUUUUAAUGAAUAGUCUAACGAUUUAUAGUCGUUGUACUCUAUUGUUAUAAUAUUUCUUUUUGACUGAAUACAUGUUUGUUUUAUUUGUCUAUAUCCUAGAUUCGCAGCUGGACACAUCCUUCUACACUGUAUGCAAACAUGCAACAUCAUUACACACAGUACAAGGAGUCAGACUGGCAUAUGAGGAGCAAAGGAACCCAGGCAGUAUCAUCGUUUCACAAUGUUUCCAUCACCAUCAUCAGUGGAUGCCUUUGCCGUCCGUAGCCUGAGAUUUCAGAUUUGCAGCAAAAAAAAUUGAUUUUCUCAUUUAUUGGAAUGCUGUGCAGGUAUUUGUACCUUGCAGCCAUCCAUUACAAUGUCACCAAGCCGUAACAAAAGCAGGAGAGGGAAAGUACAAGGCUAUGUUCCCAAAACACACAAGUGACAUACCUUAUGUGGAGGAUGUGAUCAGGCUUGUGUUUGAUGAGGUAUUUGAAGAUAAGCUGAAGGAAACCCCGAUUCCAAUGGACCUGGCAUCACAGUUUGAGAGACCUUCAAAGGAGGACGUGAUUGCAUGCCAUCUUCAGUGCAGGGGUCGUCGAAAGCCAAAAUUGUGACCGAUCUGAUCAGGAAGCUCCAAGCGUAUCUGGAGAACAACACACGACAGGAUGAUAACCUUAUAGUGUCGUCUUAGAUAGCACCAGCUGACAAAGCUUUGAUAUGCCAUUUAUCUGAAUAGAUAGCUGUAAGAAAUGAAUUGAACAAUUUUUGAAACAAGAGCACAAUAUGGUUACUAAAGUAUGUUUAUUUGUAUAUUGUUUAACAUUUAAAUAUAUAUUUGUAAUAAAUAAAUAAAACUUUU